GACGAACGCUGGCGGCGUGCUUAACACAUGCAAGUCGAACGGAAAGGCCCUGCUUUUGUGGGGUGCUCGAGUGGCGAACGGGUGAGUAACACGUGAGUAACCUGCCCUUGACUUUGGGAUAACUUCAGGAAACUGGGGCUAAUACCGGAUAGGAGCUCCUGCUGCAUGGUGGGGGUUGGAAAGUUUCGGCGGUUGGGGAUGGACUCGCGGCUUAUCAGCUUGUUGGUGGGGUAGUGGCUUACCAAGGCUUUGACGGGUAGCCGGCCUGAGAGGGUGACCGGCCACAUUUGGACUGGGAUACCGGCCAGACUCCUACGGGAGGCAGCAGUGGGGAAUAUUGCACAAUGGGCGGAAGCCUGAUGCAGCAACGCCGCGUGCGGGAUGACGGCCUUCGGGUUGUAAACCGCUUUCGCCUGUGACGAAGCGUGAGUGACGGUAAUGGGUAAAGAAGCACCGGCUAACUACGUG
RNAcentral lists this ribosomal RNA (468 nucleotides) under uncultured bacterium. Its description in RNAcentral is "partial 16S ribosomal RNA". It matches the Rfam family "Bacterial small subunit ribosomal RNA", at positions 28 to 507 of the family's 1533-position model. The record is from RNAcentral.